UACGGAGGGUGCGAGCGUUGUCCGGAAUCACUGGGCGUAAAGGGCGCGUAGGCGGCGCGGUAAGUCGGGUGUGAAAUCUCGGAGCUUAACUCCGAAACUGCAUUCGAUACUGCCGUGCUUGAGGACUGGAGAGGAGACUGGAAUUUACGGUGUAGCGGUGAAAUGCGUAGAUAUCGUAAGGAAGACCAGUGGCGAAGGCGGGUCUCUGGACAGUUCCUGACGCUGAGGCACGAAGGUCAGGGGAGCAAACGGG
This 253-nucleotide ribosomal RNA is filed under the name uncultured bacterium. RNAcentral's name for it is "partial 16S ribosomal RNA". It matches the Rfam family "Bacterial small subunit ribosomal RNA", at positions 524 to 776 of the family's 1533-position model. The record is from RNAcentral.